Molecule: non-coding RNA, 176 nt
Filed under: Chryseobacterium sp.
Lineage: Bacteria; Pseudomonadati; Bacteroidota; Flavobacteriia; Flavobacteriales; Weeksellaceae
Source: RNAcentral
UAUCUUUGCAAAAAUUUUGGUUUCCAGCAUAUUGGAAAUAAUAGGGAAUUGGGUGCGAUGCCCAAACUGUCCCCGCAACUGUAAAUCGCAAUAAGAUUUUCUGCAAAAAACCACUGUUCAUACGGGAAGGUGCAGAAAGCGAAAGUCAGGAGACCUGCCAAAAUUAUAAUUAAAAA